RNAcentral lists this transfer-messenger RNA (76 nucleotides) under Salmonella enterica subsp. enterica. Its description in RNAcentral is "partial transfer-messenger RNA". It matches the Rfam family "transfer-messenger RNA". Rfam says of the family: Bacterial tmRNA, also known as 10Sa RNA or SsrA, is named for its dual tRNA and mRNA-like properties. Its role is to liberate the mRNA from a stalled ribosome. Lineage: Bacteria; Pseudomonadati; Pseudomonadota; Gammaproteobacteria; Enterobacterales; Enterobacteriaceae. The record is from RNAcentral.
AAAAUACUGUUUUUGUUAUGGUUAAAAUGGUAUGUAGGAAUUUCGGACGCGGGUUCAACUCCCGCCAGCUCCACCA